This 519-nucleotide ribosomal RNA is filed under the name uncultured bacterium. Its description in RNAcentral is "bacterial SSU rRNA". It matches the Rfam family "Bacterial small subunit ribosomal RNA", at positions 822 to 1358 of the family's 1533-position model. The record is from RNAcentral.
GUAGGGCCAAACCCUGUGCCGAAGCUAACGCAUUAAGUUCUCCGCCUGGGGAGUACGUUCGCAAGAAUGAAACUUAAAGGAAUUGACGGGGGCCCGCACAAGCAGUGGAGCAUGUGGUUUAAUUCGAAGCUACGCGAAGAACCUUACCAGGGCUUGACAUAGUGUCUAAGACUCUAGAGAUAGAGGGAUAAUAGGUACAUACAGGUGGUGCAUGGUUGUCGUCAGCUCGUGUCGUGAGAUGUUAGGUUAAGUCCUCCAACGAGCGCAACCCUUGUCCUUAGUUGCCAGCAUUUAGUUGGGGACUCUAGGGAGACCGCCGGCGUAAGCCGGAGGAAGGUGGGGAUGACGUCAAAUCAUCAUGCUCUUUAUGUCCUGGGCGACACACGUGCUACAAUGGUCGGUACAAUGAGAUGCAAAAUCGCGAGGUAGAGCAAAUCUAUAAAGCCGAUCUCAGUUCGGAUUGGGGUCUGCAACUCGACUCCAUGAAGUCGGAAUUGCUAGAAUCGCAAUCAGCCUGUG